AUUGAACGCUGGCGGCAUGCCUUACACAUGCAAGUCGAACGGCAGCACGGGUGCUUGCACCUGUUGGCGAGUGGCGAACGGGUGAGUAAUACAUCGGAACAUGUCCUUUAGUGGGGGAUAGCCCGGCGAAAGCCGGAUUAAUACCGCAUACGAUCUACGGAUGAAAGCGGGGGACCUUCGGGCCUCGCGCUAUCGGGUUGGCCGAUGGCUGAUUAGCUAGUUGGUGGGGUAAAGGCCUACCAAGGCGACGCUCAGUAGCUGGUCUGAGAGGACGACCAGCCACACUGGGACUGAGACACGGCCCAGACUCCUACGGGGGGAAGCAGUGGGGAAUUUUGGACAAUGGGCGAAAGCCUGAUCCAGCAAUGCCGCGUGUGUGAAGAAGGCCUUCGGGUUGUAAAGCACUUUUGUCCGGAAAGAAAUCCUUGGCCCUAAUACGGUCGGGGGAUGACGGUACCGGAAGAAUAAGCACCGGCUAACUACGUG
Molecule: ribosomal RNA, 486 nt
Filed under: uncultured bacterium
Lineage: Bacteria
Description: partial 16S ribosomal RNA
Rfam family: Bacterial small subunit ribosomal RNA
Source: RNAcentral